GGCCUAACAACCCCUAAAGUGCAAAUUUAGAUUAGAAGUUUUUUCAUAGGCCU
This 53-nucleotide transfer RNA is filed under the name Xenagama taylori. RNAcentral's name for it is "tRNA-Cys". The record is from RNAcentral. Lineage: Eukaryota; Metazoa; Chordata; Lepidosauria; Squamata; Agamidae.